This is a long non-coding RNA of Ornithorhynchus anatinus (platypus), 289 nucleotides long. RefSeq lists it as uncharacterized. The transcript is spliced from 3 exons. Lineage: Eukaryota; Metazoa; Chordata; Mammalia; Monotremata; Ornithorhynchidae. The record is from RefSeq and is a predicted model, not a curated record.
AGUUGUCAAGACGACUGUGAACAGAAUAAUUCUGAAGAGAAGGAAAAGAGGAAAAAGCAUGAAGGACAAGGAAAAGUAAGAAGAGAAGAAAGAGUAGAAGAAGUAGGAGGAAGAAGAGAAGGAGUGGACAACUAAGGAUGGACCCAACAUUCAGAGGAAAAGCCAGUAAAAUUGGUCUUUAAUUUAUGCCAGAAGCAGAACUGUGUUCAAUUUGAAGCCAUAAAGACAAAGGUCGUGAAAUGCAUAAUGGGAAUUGAUGAAGGCUAUAUGAAAAACCUUGGCCACAGAA